GAAGAUGCAAAAGUUCAUCUGUGCGUUACAUUACAUAACGGUGUUUGGUGUUCCUUCGUCUCCACACCAUUCUGUAUUCUCACAUGCUCACUUCAUCGCCCAAUCCUUCCUUCAACAUCACCACUUACACUCCGCCGACCUUCCAGCAUUGAACAUGGUCGUUUCGCGUUCGUUUGGCCAACGGACACCUCGCCCUCUGCUCCUCCACCCUUCCCAACGCCCCCCUGGCCAUCCAAUCACACCAUGAGCACACCACCUUCUUCACCCUCGACCUCGAGCUCUUCAUCGUCGUCGCCAUCGUCUUCGUCGUCAUCGCGCCAUCGCGCCAUCUCUUCGUCCUCUUCACCUCGUCUUCGUCCGCCUCAACAACUAUGUCUUUCGAGAACGAGUUCCCGCUUCCGCCUCUUAACUUCCCUGCCGCCACCGACCCCGUGCCCGCGGCGCUCCCGCACCCACCACGUCCGAAGCCGCUCUUCCCUGGGAUCGAAUCUCAGAAAUCGCCGCCCAUGCUGCCAUCCGAACCUUACAGAAUCGAUCGUCAACGGCCAACCAAACCAACCAGCGCGGACGAUGGCGACAGCAGGCUCACUGUCUUCGUGCAAGCCGCAUACCGUGAAGUGCAGGCGUAGGCGGUUGGCCCACGAGGCGAGGUCGGCGUCCUUGGCAGUGGGGUUGAAGCGGGGAGCCGGUCCGCGCUGGUUGGUUUGGUUGGCCGGUGACGAUCGAUUCUGUAAGGUUCGGAUGGCAGCAUGGGCGGCGAUUUCUGAGAUUCGAUCCCAGGGAAGAGCGGCUUCGGACGUGGUGGGUGCGGGGGGCGCCGCGGGCACGGGGUCGGUGGCGGCAGGGAAGUUAAGAGGCGGAAGCGGGAACUCGUUCUCGACAUAGUUGUUGAGGCGGACGAAGAUGAGGUGAAGAGGACGAAGACGAAGUGAUGAGGGCAAAGACGAAGUGAAGAGGAUGCAGACGAUGGCACGAUAGCGCGAUGACGACGAAGACGAUGGCGACGACGAUGAAGAGCUCGGCGAGGAGGAUCACCUAGGCUCUGAUACCAAUUGAAAGAGAACCAGGCCGCUCCUAACAACUGGGAAGCGUAAGCUGACUUUACUGUCCGAUAUACUUGCGUAGGCACAGAGGAUCGGAGUUUCAACCUCAACCUAGGCUUACUAUGUUCAUAAUUUGGUCCGCUUACAUAGUCAUAUUAGCGCGCCACAACCUCACACAUCGUACACACAAGUUCAAGCUCCACUAGCUCCG
This 1254-nucleotide long non-coding RNA is filed under the name Volvox carteri. Its description in RNAcentral is "long non-coding RNA (VCAR_LNC002244)". The record is from RNAcentral. Lineage: Eukaryota; Viridiplantae; Chlorophyta; Chlorophyceae; Chlamydomonadales; Volvocaceae.